This 254-nucleotide ribosomal RNA is filed under the name uncultured bacterium. RNAcentral describes it as "partial 16S ribosomal RNA". It matches the Rfam family "Bacterial small subunit ribosomal RNA", at positions 524 to 776 of the family's 1533-position model. The record is from RNAcentral.
GACGUAGGGCGCGAGCGUUUGUCCGGAUUUAUUGGGCGUAAAGAGCUCGUAGGCGGCUUGUCGCGUCGAAUGUGAAAACCCACGGCUCAACUGUGGGCUUGCAUUCGAUACGGGCAGGCUAGAGUUCGGUAGGGGAGACUGGAAUUCCUGGUGUAGCGGUGAAAUGCGCAGAUAUCAGGAAGAACACCCGUGGCGAAGGCGGCUCUCUGGGACGGUACUGACGCUGAGACGCGAAAGCGUGGGGAGCGAACAGG